Molecule: ribosomal RNA, 588 nt
Filed under: uncultured bacterium
Lineage: Bacteria
Description: bacterial SSU rRNA
Rfam family: Bacterial small subunit ribosomal RNA
Source: RNAcentral
GAUGAACGCUGGCGGCGUGCUUAACACAUGCAAGUCGAACGAUGAUCCGGUGCUUGCACCGGGGAUUAGUGGCGAACGGGUGAGUAACACGUGAGUAACCUGCCCUUGACUCUGGGAUAAGCCUGGGAAACUGGGUCUAAUACCGGAUAUGACUCCUCAUCGCAUGGUGGGGGGUGGAAAGCUUUUGCGGUUUUGGAUGGACUCGCGGCCUAUCAGCUUGUUGGUGAGGUAAUGGCUCACCAAGGCGACGACGGGUAGCCGGCCUGAGAGGGUGACCGGCCACACUGGGACUGAGACACGGCCCAGACUCCUACGGGAGGCAGCAGUGGGGAAUAUUGCACAAUGGGCGAAAGCCUGAUGCAGCGACGCCGCGUGAGGGAUGACGGCCUUCGGGUUGUAAACCUCUUUCAGUAGGGAAGAAGCGAAAGUGACGGUACCUGCAGAAGAAGCGCCGGCUAACUACGUGCCAGCAGCCGCGGUAAUACGUAGGGCGCAAGCGUUAUCCGGAAUUAUUGGGCGUAAAGAGCUCGUAGGCGGUUUGUCGCGUCUGCCGUGAAAGUCCGGGGCUCAACUCCGGAUCUGCGGUGG